RNAcentral lists this ribosomal RNA (263 nucleotides) under uncultured archaeon. RNAcentral describes it as "partial 16S ribosomal RNA". It matches the Rfam family "Archaeal small subunit ribosomal RNA", at positions 718 to 982 of the family's 1478-position model. The record is from RNAcentral.
AGUCACUGACAUUAGAUACCCCGUAGUCCAGGGUGUAAACGCUGCAGACUUGGUGUUGGAGGCCCUUUGGGGGCAUUCAGUGCCGGAGAGAAGUUGUUAAGUCUGCUACUUGGGGAGUACGUCCGCAAGGAUGAAACUUAAAGGAAUUGGCGGGGGAGCACCGCAACGGGAGGAGCGUGCGGUUUAAUUGGAUUCAACACCGUAAACUCACCAGGGAAGACUGUUACAUGAAGGCCGAGAUGAAGACUCUGCUAGAUUUUCAG